GCAUUCCUAUGGCUCAGUCAGAAAAACAUUGAGCUAGCAACACAAAUAUCAUGGGUUCGAUCUCCAGGGAAAGCA
This is a non-coding RNA of Danionella cerebrum, 75 nucleotides long. The record is from the annotation of a GenBank genome assembly. NCBI's taxonomy places the organism in Eukaryota, Metazoa, Chordata, Actinopteri, Cypriniformes, Danionidae.